RNAcentral lists this ribosomal RNA (496 nucleotides) under uncultured bacterium. RNAcentral describes it as "partial 16S ribosomal RNA". It matches the Rfam family "Bacterial small subunit ribosomal RNA", at positions 36 to 507 of the family's 1533-position model. The record is from RNAcentral.
AUUCCCUCUGGCGGCGUGCCUAAUCCAUGCAAGUCGAGCGAACGGACGAGAAGCUUGCUUCUCUGAUGUUAGCGGCGGACGGGUGAGUAACACGUGGAUAACCUACCUAUAAGACUGGGAUAACUUCGGGAAACCGUAGCUAAUACCGGAUAAUAUUUUGAACCGCAUGGUUCAAAAGUGAAAGACGGUCUUGCUGUCACUUAUAGAUGGAUCCGCGCUGCAUUAGCUAGUUGGUAAGGUAACGGCUUACCAAGGCAACGAUGCAUAGCCGACCUGAGAGGGUGAUCGGCCACACUGGAACUGAGACACGGUCCAGACUCCUACGGGAGGCAGCAGUAGGGAAUCUUCCGCAAUGGGCGAAAGCCUGACGGAGCAACGCCGCGUGAGUGAUGAAGGUCUUCGGAUCGUAAAACUCUGUUAUUAGGGAAGAACAUAUGUGUAAGUAACUGUGCACAUCUUGACGGUACCUAAUCAGAAAGCCACGGCUAACUACGUG